UAUAGGUUUUAAAGGCAUAGAAGCCCAUUAAAAACACAUUCAGAGACAUACUAUAGGGGUAUAUAUACAAGACAUAGACUGGAAUUGCAAAGAAAGCUGAUAGCAAUCCUCAAACCGAGUUGCCUCGAGAAGUAUUCCAAGCCUACAAAAGGUGCACAGGUGGUAGAAAAUUGAUAUCAGGCGUGCACAUGCCCCAAAGAGCCAGCAACAACCUAACCAAGCUUUUCAAUAAUGAUCCUUCCGCAGGUUCACCUACGGAAA
This 261-nucleotide unclassified non-coding RNA is filed under the name uncultured fungus. RNAcentral's name for it is "sequence contains ITS1". The record is from RNAcentral. Lineage: Eukaryota; Fungi.